CGCCGCCUCCACUACCCAGGCCAGCUGCCCGCGCCUCAGUGCCCCCCACGCAUUUGUCGGGUGUUGUGCGGUCUUGUCCACAACGCACGCGAGUGACUCCCAACUUCACCAUCCUCUUCGUGCCCCGCCCUCCUGCCCUAGUGUCUCAGGUGCCCCAGAGUUGUCCUGACGCGAGGCCUACUGACCUGACCACCGCCCACCACUAAGAGAUGUUGGAAGAUCUUGGCGUGAAGGGUUUGCCGCGCGGCGCAUCGAGGCCUCAGCGAUGAAGACAGCGUCGAGGCCGUCCCGCGGGAUGUGGCGUGUGACAAGACUUCGGGAAGGAGAGAAGCAAGUCCUGACGACCCUUGGGAAGCAGGAACGAGAGAAUGAAUAGUAAAGAGGCUGCGAUGCUCCUUGUCAAUGCCUCACACACACACACACACACAUAUACACACACACAUACACACACACACAGCAUCCUUCCCUCGUGAAUAUUUUUUAGGAUGAAUGUCGCGUGAAUGUGUAGUAAUCUGCGCUCUCUGCAAUAGUUGUCUUCAUGGGUGUAAAAGAAAAGUGAAGUACCGCCUUGAAAAUUGCUUGUGUCUUGGUUGUAUUACUUGCAGUGUGGUGUUAGUUUGUCUUAUUCUCUUUUCAUCCUUUCGUUCAGAUGGCAUUGUUUGUGUGUGUUUUAUUUGUUUAUUUGUUUGUUUAUUUGUUUGUUUGUUUUGUUUGUUUGUUUGUUUGUUAGUUGGUUGGUUGGUUGCUUGUUGUUAUUGUUGGUGGUGGUGGUGCUGUUAUUGGUGUUGUCGUUGUUCUAGGUAACUGACUAACUAACCAACUAAUUAGGUAAUUAACUAAACUAACUUCAUAAUGAAACGAAAAAUAAACUGAGACAUCUAUUCCUGUUUUAAGUUUCUUUUUCAUUUUUUCUUUUUUUUUAGAGCAGAUUUUUUCUCAACUUUUUUGUGUCCUUAGCUUCUCUCCCUUACGCUUACCUAAAAAGAAAAAAAAAGAAAAGAAAAAACGAAAAGAGAAAGAGAGAAAAACACGAACUACACGCCGCACACUCCACCACUCCACCUCCACCCACUCCACCACCCACCCACCCAUCCACCCACUUAUCCGCACCCCCGGCAUGCAACACCCCCGCAGCCAGAAGAAAAGAAAGAAAAGGGGGAAGAAAAGUGAAAUAACCUUCUGUCAAGUUUCACGAUCGCUUUGUUCCGUGAAACUUAAUACUGCUACGUGGGAAAAAAAAAGAGUAGGAAAAGAAAGGAGGGAAAAAGGAGAGGGAAAAAAAAACUAGUGCUCGUGAGUUCGUUCUGACCUGUAUGUGUGUGUGUGUGUGUGUAUGUGUGUGCAAGGGAGACACUCUUGCAGCGACAUAAAGUGCAUCAUAUCCUGUGCCUGGAGCUGUAAUCCAUUAUAUGAGAAUUGCAUUAUGCUGUUCCAUCUUCCCCACCACCACCACCACCACCACCACCACCACCACCACCACCACCACCACUAUACUACUACCACUCCCCUUCUCCUUUCACUCCAGCAACACCCUUACUUCCACACUUACCUCCACCACAGUCCACCAGUGUAAGGCCGCCACCUCUGCAUCACCGUUCCCUCCGCCACCUCCUCCACUUCUCCAUCACAACUCCACUGCCACACGUCCACUUUUUUUUCAUGUUUUCCACUGCCAGAACGUUCUCAGCUCUGGUAGGCAUCACGGUCCUCCUCCUCCUCCUCCUCCUCCUCCUCCU
Scylla paramamosain (green mud crab) is the source of this 1736-nucleotide long non-coding RNA. RefSeq lists it as uncharacterized. The transcript is spliced from 3 exons. The record is from RefSeq and is a predicted model, not a curated record. NCBI's taxonomy places the organism in Eukaryota, Metazoa, Arthropoda, Malacostraca, Decapoda, Portunidae.